GCCUGGCUGGCUCAGUCGGUAGAGCAUGAGACUUUUUGAUCUCGGGGUUGUGAGUUCGAGCCCCAUGUUGGGUG
This 74-nucleotide transfer RNA is filed under the name Ursus americanus (American black bear). It matches the Rfam family "tRNA". From Rfam's summary of the family: Transfer RNA (tRNA) molecules are approximately 80 nucleotides in length. Their secondary structure includes four short double-helical elements and three loops (D, anti-codon, and T loops). The record is from Rfam by way of RNAcentral. RNAcentral also lists the same sequence under 2 other names. Lineage: Eukaryota; Metazoa; Chordata; Mammalia; Carnivora; Ursidae.